AUCCGGAAUCAUUGGGCGUAAAGCGCCUGUAGGUUGUUUAAUAAGUCUGUUGUUAAAGACUAGGGCUCAACCCUAGAAAAGCAAUGGAAACUACUAGACUAGAGUAUGGCAGGGGUAGAGGGAAUUUCUAGUGUAGCGGUGAAAUGCGUAGAUAUUAGAAAGAACACCGGUGGCGAAAGCGCUCUACUGGACCAUUACUGACACUCAGAGGCGAAAGCUAGGGUAGCAAAAGGGAUUAGAUACCCCUGUAGUCCUAGCCGUAAACGAUGGAUACUAGAUGUUGUACGUAAAGUACAGUAUCCUAGCUAACGCGUUAAGUAUCCCGCCUGGGGAGUACGCUCGCAAGGGUGAAACUCAAAGGAAUUGACGGGGGCCCGCACAAGCGGUGGAGCAUGUGGUUUAAUUCGAUGCAACGCGAAGAACCUUACCAGGGCUUGACAUACUACAAAUUCUUUAGAGAUAGAGAAGUGCCUUCGGGAAUGUAGAUACAGGUGGUGCAUGGCUGUCGUCAGCUCGUGUCGUGAGAUGUUGGGUUAAGUCCCGCAACGAGCGCAACCCUUGUUUUUAGUUACUAAUUCGUUAGGUUUUCUAGAAAGACUGCCGGUGACAAACCGGAGGAAGGUGAGGAUGACGUCAAGUCAGCAUGCCCCUUAUGUCCUGGGCUACACACGUGCUACAAUGGUUAAGACAAAGAGUCGCGAGCUCGCGAGAGUCAGCUAAUCUCAUAAACUUAGCCUAAGUUCAGAUUGUAGGCUGCAACUC
Molecule: ribosomal RNA, 762 nt
Filed under: uncultured marine haptophyte
Lineage: Eukaryota; Haptophyta
Description: bacterial SSU rRNA
Rfam family: Bacterial small subunit ribosomal RNA
Source: RNAcentral